Non-coding RNA from Tinamus guttatus (white-throated tinamou), 188 nucleotides. NCBI's taxonomy places the organism in Eukaryota, Metazoa, Chordata, Aves, Tinamiformes, Tinamidae. The record is from RefSeq and is a predicted model, not a curated record.
AGAUCAUACACGAGCAGGGCAGCUACAGUUUCCUGGUCUGUGGGAUGAUCUUUGGAGGUUUGGCCUUUACCUUCUACGCCUUCCUCUUAUUCUUCCACAGGAUGUACCCCAAGCCCUCAUCAGAUCUGGAUGCCACCUCACCUGACAAGCCAGCAGUAACGGAUGACAAUGGACUUUAUCAGCGCUAA